GAGGAAUUCCGUCGGAAUCCGGGAGGACCAUCUCCCAAGGCUAAAUACUCCCUAGUGACCGAUAGUGAACCAGUACCGUGAGGGAAAGGUGAAAAGCACCCCGGAAGGGGAGUGAAAUAGAACCUGAAACCGUGUGCCUACAACAAGUCAAAGCCCGUUAAUGGGUGAUGGCGUGCCUUUUGUAGAAUGAACCGGCGAGUUACGAUUGCAUGCGAGGUUAAGUUGAAGAGACGGAGCCGCAGCGAAAGCGAGUCUGAAUAGGGCGUUUGAGUAUGUAGUCGUAGACCCGAAACCAUGUGAUCUACCCAUGUCCAGGUUGAAGGUGCGGUAAAACGCACUGGAGGACCGAACCCACGUACGUUGAAAAGUGCGGGGAUGAGGUGUGGGUAGCGGAGAAAUUCCAAACGAACUUGGAGAUAGCUGGUUCUCUCCGAAAUAGCUUUAGGGCUAGCCUCGGAAUUGAGAAUGAUGGAGGUAGAGCACUGUUUGGACUAGGGGCCCAUCUCGGGUUACCGAAUUCAGAUAAACUCCGAAUGCCAUUCAUUCAUAUCCGGGAGUCAGACUGUGAGUGAUAAGAUCCAUAGUCGAAAGGGAAACAGCCCAGACCACCAGCUAAGGUCCCAAAAUAUAUGUUAAGUGGAAAAGGAUGUGGGGUUGCACAGACAACUAGGAUGUUGGCUUAGAAGCAGCCACCAUUUAAAGAGUGCGUAAUAGCUCACUAGUCGAGUGACCCUGCGCCGAAAAUGUACCGGGGCUAAACAUAUUACCGAAGCUGUGGAGUACACCUUUAGGUGUAUUGGUAGGAGAGCGUUCUAAGGGCGUUGAAGGCAGAUCGUGAGGACUGCUGGAGCGCUUAGAAGUGAGAAUGCCGGUAUGAGUAGCGAAAGACAGGUGAGAAUCCUGUCCACCGAAUGACUAAGGUUUCCUGGGGAAGGCUCGUCCGCCCAGGGUUAGUCGGGACCUAAGCCGAGGCCGACAGGCGUAGGCGAUGGACAACAGGUUGAUAUUCCUGUACUCGUUGUUUUUGUUUGAGCAAUGGAGGGACGCAGGAGGCUAAGGAAUGCAGACGAUUGGAAAUGUCUGUCUAAGCAGUAAGUCU
This 1099-nucleotide ribosomal RNA is filed under the name Enterococcus hirae. Its description in RNAcentral is "partial 23S ribosomal RNA". It matches the Rfam family "Bacterial large subunit ribosomal RNA", at positions 426 to 1526 of the family's 2925-position model. Lineage: Bacteria; Bacillati; Bacillota; Bacilli; Lactobacillales; Enterococcaceae. The record is from RNAcentral.